GACGAACGCUGGCGGCGUGCCUAAUACAUGCAAGUCGAACGCAGUGGGGACGGGUGAGUAACACGUGGGUAACCUCCCAUCAGAGGGGAUAACACUUGGAAACAGGUGCUAAACCGAUACUGAUGGAUGGACCCGCGGUGCAUUAGCUAGUGGGUGAGGUAACGGCUCACCAAGGCCACGAUGCAUAGCCGACCGGAGGGGGUAAACGGCAAAACGGGCACUGAGACACGGCCCAGACUCCUACGGAAGGCAGCAGUAGGGAAUCUGCGGAAAUGAAGGAAAGUCUGACCGAGCAAGGCCGCGUGAGUGAGGAGGGUUUUCGGUUCGUAAGACUCUGUUGUUAGAGAAGCGGUAUCUAACCAGAAAGCCACGGCUAACUAUGUGCCAGCAGCCGCGGUAAUUC
Molecule: ribosomal RNA, 403 nt
Filed under: uncultured bacterium
Lineage: Bacteria
Description: partial 16S ribosomal RNA
Rfam family: Bacterial small subunit ribosomal RNA
Source: RNAcentral